Mya arenaria is the source of this 2961-nucleotide long non-coding RNA. RefSeq lists it as uncharacterized. Lineage: Eukaryota; Metazoa; Mollusca; Bivalvia; Myida; Myidae. The transcript is spliced from 3 exons. The record is from RefSeq and is a predicted model, not a curated record.
UCAAAGCACCGGCUCAAUCAUGCAGCCGCUCUAAUGAGAGCCAAUGAACGAUAUAGACCCGGAAGCAAGCGUCUAGAUGAUCGAGACUAAAUUGGCAACAAUGAAAACAUCUCAUUACUUGAUUCUUGAAAAUAACGUCAACAAAUGACAAUUCUACCACCGUUUAAAGUUUGAUUAAAUUUUGGACAAAUGUGUUUGUUUUAAUUUGCCUCUCACAAAAAGUAAACGUAUAUAUAUACUGGGCAAAGAAGUGCUGAAAUUUAUCGUGAAUGACAGUGAUAAUCCAAAGUUUGAAUUUGGUUCGGACAUGUUUGACGGGAAUUCGGAUGACCGUUACAGUGAAAAGACAGUUUCCAAUCGUUCAUCUAUACCUACUACACCUGUCCAGGUAAAAACUUCAGAUUCCUCCGACGCAGCGGAUCAUGAAAUUCCUGUCCCGAUGAGGCAACAAGGCGUGCUUGUGGUGGAGGCCUUGGUCGCCGAUGAGUCAAUGUUCGUGGACAGUAGGAUGACGCUAAAAAUGAACCUGACUGACAUUCAUAUGUGCUUCAUGCAAUCCCAUGAGUUUUACCAUUCACACAAAAACAUCAAACAAGCCGGAUUGUGUAUAUUUUGUAAAUAUUAGUCAAAAGGAUAAAGAAAAUGGUGCCUGACUGUGUGAUUGGAAAAAGGUAUUAAUCACAUGUUUCGAAGAAAUGUUUGUAGAUUGUUUAGAUGUUCAUGUGUAUUUAAACUAUAUAUGGAAAACAUUCAAGUGUUAAAUAUUUAUGCUGAUUGUUUUUUUGUCUAUGAAAAAAUAUUGCAUAUUCUUGUAUUUUCUUGAAAUAUGUUUAUGCUAUAUAUGAAAACUGACACAAUCAGUAUUUGCAGUAUGUAACAGGGUACAAUUCUUUGUAUGAAAUAAGAAUUGGUUGGGUGUAACCUUUUCAUGGUAUUUUAGUUCAUUCACUGUGACCAUUGUAUUUUUAAUUACCUGUCUUCUGACCAUGACCAUGUUGGCAUAGGAUUAUAGUUUUUCCCGCCAUUUCAAUCAUGUGAUCUGUCACAUGAUUGCAGUUCAGCCUCUUAUUCAGAGUUUGAUGAGGGAGGUUGGACUUCUCUUGGAAGUCAACUUUGGUUUUUUGUACAGGAUUUGGACAUAUGUUUUGGUGGGUAUUAUUUCUGAUACUGUAUCUGCAAUUACCCUUUCUGUAUUUGCAAUGAGUUAAGAUGUGUUUUGAAUUAUGCAUUUAGUACACAUUUUACUUUUCUGCACGAGUUUCUCAAAUUCAAGAUUGCGGCAAAUUCUUAUCUAACUGAUUAUUAACUAAUUAAUUUACAAUCACUUUUACUACAUCUAUUACACUUUUAAAAUGAUCCUUAUUACAGCUAACCUCAGUCAUGUCCUUACCCAUCACGGGAGAGAGACAGUUGAGCGCGUAUAUAUCCUUUCAUUCCACAAAUGAAUGCGGAAUAUACAUAGAUAUAAAUAUAUUUAGUGGUUAUUCUCAUGAUUACCAUGAUUACUGAACUCUCUACAAUAAACCGUGAAAUAACCGGACUCUAGUGUGGACUUUUUUAGCUAAUAUAGCUGGUUACAACAUAUAUAUUUAUUGGACCAGCCGGGCAUGUAACCUGUAUAUUACAAGUACAAAAGAAGUAAAAGUGUCUUUUGUAUAUAUGUUUUCUAUCACUUGUCUAAAUUUGAACAAGAUAUCUAAAACAAAAAUUAAGGAAAAUUUGCAAAUUAAAAAAAGAUAGGCAUUAAAUUCUGAGAAAGCCUAAAAUCAUACUGGCGCAGGCUGGAAUUUUCUGUGACAUAUUUUCAGCUGAAAUGGUUUACAAUAUGGUGUAGGUUUUUUGUAAAUUUUAUUCCAGAACUUAAAUGGUUACCAAGGCCAAUUGUGUAGUCGGUCGCCCGUGAGCUCAAUCGGUAGAGCGUUGGACUGUGAAUCGAACAACCCGGAUUUGAUUCCCAAGCGGACCAGGUCACUUCUGUUGUGAUUGGUUAUGAAAUCCUUUCUUCGACCAUUUGCACUGUACCUCUGCCCCUGGCAUGUGCAGAAGUAGUCAGUUCCUUGCAGAGGUGAAGGCACCUAGUACUGGUUCUGCCCAGGAUAGGUGUGCGGUGGUUGAACUGUCACUCUGGGACCCUUCGAUGUGCUCACGCUGAGACCCGGAGUAUUAACUACUAACACUACCAAUCGUGUAGUCAAAGCAAGAGUGAUAGCUGUAGUUUAUAUAUAUAUGUGACUGCAAAUGCCUAUAUUCAUUUUUUGAGUUAUUUUUCAAGUCGCCUUGUCUAGUCAUUUCCAUGGCAUGAGAUAUGACAAUGUAUUUUAAUAGAGAAUUAUUUUUAACCAAGUUUUCCUAAGGAAAAGUGGAAAACCAAGUUAAUAGAUUCGGAUAUUCCAUUGGGCAGGCAGGUGGCUGUGACCAUUGGCGCUUGUGUCCAGGCUUUAACUUAGCCAUGCAUAGGGUAUUUAAAAAAAAAACCUUGCAAAAAGGUUUUUAAACUGGAAAACUGGUUUUGAGUUCUCUCAUUUAUGAAAUAGUUUAAAGAAAUACAUUUUCUUGAUCUCAUAUAGCAUUUGAUUGAUCUAAAAUAUAAUAUUGGUAUAGAAUUAUCUUUUAGUGUUAUCAUUCUUUCACUGGAUGUUAUCCUUGUACUGUUUACAAUAUCAUUGUUUAGUUAAUAAGUGAAUAAAAUGUGAGCAAAAGUGAGUUUUUCGCUUAAUGCCAAACAAAUAUUUUUAUUAUUUCGCUCGCUCGCCCCAUUAUUUUUUGGGAAAGAUCCGAUGAACAAGUUAUCAAUUUGGUGUGGCCUAAGCAGGGAACCAGACUAUAGACUAGUGAAUAAAACCAUAAGCAACCAGUAAUUAUCAACUCAACACAACUCAAAACUCGUUUUAUUUACUAACUUCAGGUUACAAUGUAUGCAACAACAUGGAUAGGAUAUAUAAUAUGAACUAAGGCGCUGCC